CAGCACGAUGUGUCUCUUGCGCAGUCAAUUCAAUUUCCAUAAGGUGAAUACAGAAAGGAACUACAAGCAUUGGAAAUGAAUGGGGGAGUUUAAUUCAGCCGCGUUUCACUCCCACUGAGGAGGCAUACAGAUGGCUGCACAGAACUCAGCAAAAACAGAGCCAGGAGUCAGGGAGAGGGAGACUUCAACUGGGGUUUCGAGUGGAGUUGCUCAUUUAUUUCCCCCUGUAUCAGUCUGCCUCCUGGGAUAUCGCAUGGACAGGUACAGGCAAACAGUUCCAAAUAAGGGAAUGCAUGCUGUGCGAGUGUAAUGCUCUGCUUUCCUUAGUGGCAUGUUUUCAGCAAGUUUGCCAUGUGCUACAGCUGGCCUAGGCAGGAUUUUGCAAAAGGAAAGAAGAAUAUUCACACUAAGGUCCCUGAAGCCACACUUCUGCAAACUAGCAGCUACCAAAAAGGUCAAAACAAGUAUUCUCAUUUUGACUGGACUCCCUGCUUCAGAAUUCUGUAUUUGGAGCACUUCAGGAGAUGCCCGAAGUUUCUACUACCAUACUUAAAGAGUCACCAAAGCAGGAAAUGUGAGCUCAUGCCAGCUUUCUUAGGGGGAAAAAGAAGAUCUUCAAACCAACAGUAUAAUUCUAGCAUCUCCAGAAAUGCUAAAGCCCUGACAAUUGUCUGAAGAAAAGUGUUGCAACACAGGCAUAAAUUCAACCUUUAUGAGACAUUAUACAGAAAGAAGACUCCAGAAGAGUAGAUGGCCUGUGUCUUCACUUCUCUGGAGCAGGCUGAUUUCAUUUGACUGCCGCAGUACACAGCAUCCAAUCCUGUGUCUCUGCCAAGACCUUUACUGCCCUGAGACAUAAUUAUUACUCUUGGGAAUUUUUUCAUCUAUAAUGUGAGGAAUGAAUCACAGACCAGCAGACAAGUCAUUUUUGGCAUGAACUUGAAUUGCAUAGCCGGACACAUCUGGCUCUGUAAAAUGCAGAGCAGUAUCAGUCUUCAUACCUGGCAGGAUCUAUUCUUGUUCUGAGCUGUUCCCAAAACUCUAUGUAUCAGGGUUUGUUUUGGAGAGCAAUUCAAAUAAGGACCUUGAAAGGAACUAACUUGCUUAGACUGCAAGCAGUUAAAGGACUAUAUAACCCAGAACUAAACUGUGAGAUAAGGCUUUUUGGUAAAGUAGAAUCACUGCUGGGUUGAGCACUCCAAGUACGCUAAAUUAUUUUUUGUGAGUUUCUUAACUUAACUAGUAUGGAACAGGUUGCCCAAGGAGGUUGUGAAUGCCCCAUCCCUGGAGGCAUUCAAGGCCAGGCUGGAUGUGGCUCUGGGCAGCCUGGGCUAGUGGUUGGUGACCCUGCACAUAGCAGGGGGCUUGGAACUAGAUGACCACUGUGGUCCUUUUCAACCCAGGUCAUUCUAUGAUUCUAUGAUUCUAUAAUCUUUAGAACAUCCAGCCUUCUUAGGUGCUGAUUAGUGGCUGUAGUGGUAUAAAAAUUUCUGUCAUAGGACCUGAAAGAAAGUGCAGGGGUCUUUGUCGGUGGACCCCAAAUUCUAUGACCAGACUUUUGUCAGCUGAGUUGAAACACAGAAAAUAUAAUUUAUUUUACUGUGUGUGGAAGCUACUGGUAGAAGCUUCUCUGAGAUGAAUUUUCUUGCUGUUCACAGCAUUUAGAUAACACGAUGGGGAAAAAAGAUGUUCCUAAUUUCUCUUCUUAAUUAUUAAUAAAAUGAGUGUUGUAGAGUUGCAUACUUUUCUCCACUGGCUGUAAAAGGUGCCUACAAAGAUUAGUUAACAGGGAGAUGUCUGUGUUGUGGCAUCUUUAUUUAAUCAAAUUAAUCCAACACAUUUUUUCACUUCCCAGUUCUUGCUUAAAGUUCGCAUACCUUUUGAUAUUCUAUGAAUAUAAGACUACUUCUUAAUAGCAUCUUGAGUUAAUUGGUUGAUGGACGGACACAGCUCUCUCUGGGUGCUGUAAGAAUGUAAAACUGCACAAUGGGUGAUGGAGAUCAGCUCAACUCUGCAGAUGAGCUGAGGAAACUGACAGUAGGGCAAAGCAUGGAGAGAGGGUUUUUUUCUCAUGGUAUUCCUAAAGCUCCACUAUAAAUAAAGACAUUUUAAAGUUUUUGUUUCAUUUUGUUUAUUUUUUCAAUUAAAAUGUGUAAAGAAAAUGAAGCCUUUGAUUCACUAGAAUCAUAUUAUAAAGGUGCUAUUAAAUACUUUGAUUUGGAAGAAAACCAGGGAGCUCCAAUAAAACACAUAGUGCCAUACCAAUGUGACUACUAAUGUCUCAUGUAUUUCACUGUGCACAUACUAAAUUUUCAGAUGGCCUUUUGAGCUGUCUGGGGCAGUUCUGC
RNAcentral lists this long non-coding RNA (2348 nucleotides) under Gallus gallus (chicken). Lineage: Eukaryota; Metazoa; Chordata; Aves; Galliformes; Phasianidae. The record is from RNAcentral.